CUCGUAGGCGGCCAACUAAGUCCGACGUGAAAUCCCCAAGCUUAACUUGGGAACUGCGUCGGAUACUGGAUGGCUUGAAUCCGGGAGAGGGAUGCAGAAUUCCAGGUGUAGCGGUGAAAUGCGUAGAUAUCUGGAGGAAUACCGGUGGCGAAGGCGGCAUCCUGGACCGGCAUUGACGCUGAUGAGCGAAAGCUAGGGGAGCAAACG
This 207-nucleotide ribosomal RNA is filed under the name uncultured bacterium. RNAcentral's name for it is "partial 16S ribosomal RNA". It matches the Rfam family "Bacterial small subunit ribosomal RNA", at positions 568 to 774 of the family's 1533-position model. The record is from RNAcentral.